AAUGGGCGAAAGCCUGAUCCAGCAAUGCCGCGUGAGUGAUGAAGGCCUUAGGGUUGUAAAGCUCUUUUACCAGGGAUGAUAAUGACAGUACCUGGAGAAUAAGCUCCGGCUAACUCCGUGCCAGCAGCCGCGGUAAUACGGAGGGAGCUAGCGUUGUUCGGAAUUACUGGGCGUAAAGCGCACGUAGGCGGCGAUCCAAGUCAGGGGUGAAAUCCCGGGGCUCAACCCCGGAACUGCCCUUGAAACUAGGUUGCUAGAAUACUGGAGAGGUGAGUGGAAUUCCGAGUGUAGAGGUGAAAUUCGUAGAUAUUCGGAAGAACACCAGUGGCGAAGGCGACUCACUGGACAGUUAUAGACGCUGAGGUGCGAAAGCGUGGGGAGCAAACAGGAUU
Molecule: ribosomal RNA, 392 nt
Filed under: uncultured Gammaproteobacteria bacterium
Lineage: Bacteria; Pseudomonadati; Pseudomonadota; Gammaproteobacteria
Description: bacterial SSU rRNA
Rfam family: Bacterial small subunit ribosomal RNA
Source: RNAcentral